RNAcentral lists this ribosomal RNA (393 nucleotides) under uncultured bacterium. RNAcentral's name for it is "partial 16S ribosomal RNA". It matches the Rfam family "Bacterial small subunit ribosomal RNA", at positions 338 to 729 of the family's 1533-position model. The record is from RNAcentral.
CCUACGGGUGGCUGCAGUGAGGAAUAUUGGUCAAUGGACGAAGGUCUGAACCAGCCAAGUAGCGUGAGGGAUGACGGCCCUAUGGAUUGUAAACUUCUUUUGUAAGGGAGUAAAACGCGCCACGUGUGGCUUUUUGCGUGUACCUUAUGAAUAAGCAUCGGCUAACUCCGUGCCAGCAGCCGCGGUAAUCCGGAGGAUCCGAGCGUUAUCCGGAUUUAUUGGGUUUAAAGGGGGCGCGGGGGGAUUGUCAAGUCAGCGGUAAAAUUUUGGGGCUCAACCGUGUCGUGCCGUUGAUACUGGCGUUCGUGAGUAAACGAGAGGUAUGCGGAAUGCGUGGUGUAGCGGUGAAAUGCUUAGAUAUCACGCAGAACCCCGAUUGCGAAGGCAGCUUAC